UCCUUCUCCUUCUCCAGUUGUGUCACCUCCUCCUCCUCCUCCCUCUCCUUCGAUCUCCGUCCUCCGGCCACCGAAUUCGAUAAAUGAACACCCUAAAAACAUCUACUCAACGCAAGGAAGAAGAUUAUAGCUUAGAUUUGAACUGAAAUUGCGUCUAUUUUGAAGGGGAAGAGCUUGAAGUUUCGGCCACCGUGGUUACACUUUUUUCCGGCGAUUCACGGCGUUUCAGGCAAGCCUAGAGCGCAAGGUGAGUACCAAAUGACUCCUCUCUUCUUCCUCUUUCAUUUGAUGGCCUCCUCGUCGACUGUAAUAGCCGGAAUCGGAAAACCCAAAAUGGGUAUCACCG
RNAcentral lists this long non-coding RNA (346 nucleotides) under Jatropha curcas. Its description in RNAcentral is "long non-coding RNA (JCUR_LNC001690)". Lineage: Eukaryota; Viridiplantae; Streptophyta; Magnoliopsida; Malpighiales; Euphorbiaceae. The record is from RNAcentral.